UGCAGAAUCCCGUGAAUCAUCGAGUCUUUGAACGCAAGUUGCGCCCGAGGCUUCGGUCGAGGGCACGUCUGCCUGGGCGUCGCAC
RNAcentral lists this ribosomal RNA (85 nucleotides) under Agathis lanceolata. RNAcentral describes it as "partial 5.8S ribosomal RNA". It matches the Rfam family "5.8S ribosomal RNA", at positions 73 to 154 of the family's 154-position model. From Rfam's summary of the family: 5.8S ribosomal RNA (5.8S rRNA) is a component of the large subunit of the eukaryotic ribosome. It is transcribed by RNA polymerase I as part of the 45S precursor that also contains 18S and 28S rRNA. RNAcentral also lists the same sequence under 1 other name. The record is from RNAcentral. Lineage: Eukaryota; Viridiplantae; Streptophyta; Pinopsida; Araucariales; Araucariaceae.